Non-coding RNA from Pelobates cultripes (western spadefoot toad), 320 nucleotides. The record is from the annotation of a GenBank genome assembly. Lineage: Eukaryota; Metazoa; Chordata; Amphibia; Anura; Pelobatidae.
CAACUACACACUCUGUGUCCCUCCUAGGAAACACAGGUAGACACAAUAUGAAAGCAGUCUUAAACUAAUACCUCCAAAUCUCCAUUCCCAUAUAGCUAUAUCAGAACACAAUCAGAAAACAACACAGCAACAUAUAAAUUAAACCAGUUUCCAGUUAAGCUGCACACUUCACACAUUAUCACAGUCACCAUUUACACAGAAUAAACAGUUAACAGCUGUACUCAGAACAUAUUAUAAGGUAUACCAUUUUUAGUUUAUAUUAGAUUUAUUUUAGGGAUUCUUAUGUAUACUUUAUUUUAUUAUUUUUUUUAUUUUAUUUU